CCUACGGGGGGCAGCAGUGGGGAAUAUUGGACAAUGGGGGGAACCCUGAUCCAGCCAUGCCGCGUGUGUGAAGAAGGCCCUCGGGUUGUAAAGCACUUUCAGUGAGGAAGAACGCCUGGUGGUUAAUACCCAUCAGGAAAGACAUCACUCACAGAAGAAGCACCGGCUACACUCCGUGCCAGCAGCCGCGGUAAUACGGAGGGUGCGAGCGUUAAUCGGAAUUACUGGGCGUAAAGCGCGCGUAGGUGGCUUGAUAAGCCGGUUGUGAAAGCCCCGGGCUCAACCUGGGAACGGCAUCCGGAACUGUCAAGCUAGAGUGCAGGAGAGGAAGGUAGAAUUCCCGGUGUAGCGGUGAAAUGCGUAGAGAUCGGGAGGAAUACCAGUGGCGAAGGCGGCCUUCUGGACUGACACUGACACUGAGGUGCGAAAGCGUGGGUAGCAAACAGGAUUAGAUACCCCUGUAGUC
Molecule: ribosomal RNA, 466 nt
Filed under: Vreelandella stevensii
Lineage: Bacteria; Pseudomonadati; Pseudomonadota; Gammaproteobacteria; Oceanospirillales; Halomonadaceae
Description: partial 16S ribosomal RNA
Rfam family: Bacterial small subunit ribosomal RNA
Source: RNAcentral